AGGACGAACGCUGGCGGCGUGCUUAACACAUGCAAGUCGAACGGGGUAUCAGGGUAGCAAUACCCGAAGUACCUAGUGGCGAACGGGUGCGUAACACGUGAGCAACCUACCCCAGAGCUUGGAAUAACACCGGGAAACCGGUGCUAAUACCGAAUACUCUCAUCGAGCCGCAUGACGCGAUGAGGAAAUGCCUGUGUCUAAUACAUGCAGACGCUUCGGGAGGGGCUCGCGGCCUAUCAGCUAGUUGGUGAGGUAACGGCUCACCAAGGCUUCGACGGGUAGCUGGUCUGAGAGGACGAUCAGCCACACUGGCACUGAGACACGGGCCAGACUCCUACGGGAGGCAGC
Molecule: ribosomal RNA, 348 nt
Filed under: uncultured prokaryote
Description: bacterial SSU rRNA
Rfam family: Bacterial small subunit ribosomal RNA
Source: RNAcentral